CAAGUCGAGCGGAGUUCAAGAGCUUGCUUUUGGACUUAGCGGCGAACGGUCGCGUAACACGUAAGCAACCUGCCCCGAAGACCGGGACAACAUUCCGAAAGGAGUGCUAAUACCGGAUGUGGCCAUCUGUGGACAUCCUCGGAUGAUUAAAUCAAGCAAUUGGCUUCGGGAGGGGCUUGCGGCCUAUCAGCUAGUUGGUGGGGUAACGGCCUACCAAGGCGACGACGGGUAGCGGGUCUGAGAGGACGAUCCGCCGGACUGGGACUGAGAUACGGCCCAGACUCCUACGGGGGGCAGCAAUUAGGAAUCUUGCACAAUGGGGGAAACCCUGAUGCAGCGACGCCGCGUGGGUGAGGAAGGCCUUCGGGUUGUAAAGCCCAUUUACCAGGGAAGAAACAAAUGACGGUACCUGGGGAAUAAGCUCCGGCUAACUACGUGCCAGCAGCCGCGGUAAUACGUAGGGAGCGAGCGUUGUCCGAAGUUACUGGGCGUAAAGCGCGCGUAGGCGGGCUGUUAAGUGAGAGGUGAAAGGCUGGGGCUUAACCCCAUGCAGUGCCUCUCAUACUGGCGGUCUUGAGUGCGGCAGGGAGAAGUGGAAUGGCUGGUGUAGCGGUGAAAUGCGUAGAUAUCAGUCGGAACACCGGUGGCGAAGGCGGCUUCUUGGGCCUGGACUGACGCUGAGGCGCGAAAGCUGGGGGAGCGAACGGGAUUAGAUACCCCGGUAGUCCCAGCCGUAAACGAUGGAUACUAGGUGUCGGGGGUAUCGACCCCUCCGGUGCCGCAGCUAACGCAUUAAGUAUCCC
This 803-nucleotide ribosomal RNA is filed under the name uncultured Actinomycetes bacterium. RNAcentral's name for it is "bacterial SSU rRNA". It matches the Rfam family "Bacterial small subunit ribosomal RNA", at positions 58 to 870 of the family's 1533-position model. The record is from RNAcentral. Lineage: Bacteria; Bacillati; Actinomycetota; Actinomycetes.